This is an RNA transcript of Amborella trichopoda, 3834 nucleotides long. It is a transcript of the gene named Tetratricopeptide repeat (TPR)-like superfamily protein, with no coding region annotated. Lineage: Eukaryota; Viridiplantae; Streptophyta; Magnoliopsida; Amborellales; Amborellaceae. The record is from RefSeq and is a predicted model, not a curated record.
UCCAUCCCUUUCUCUCUCUUCCCUUUUAACCUCUGUGGUUUUUGUUGAUCAAUUAUUCUCUCUCUACAAGGUGCAGAAGCAAUGCUUUCCCUCGCUUCUUGUAAUGACUGUGAAACUUUUAUGCUCUCGCUACAAUCACAUCCUUUCUAUCUCUUCCACUAAUUCAAAAACGCUAACGUUUAAGUUAUGCAGAAGAAUGGCCCAUGUGGCACAAAGUAUCAUAGAACACAGUGAUACCCAUUUGGCCCAAAGUUACGUGGAACCACAUGACUUGGAGCAUGGGUAUUCCGUGCUGCUUAAAUCAUGCUCUGAACCUUCUUUUCUAAAGCAAGGCAGGCAAAUUCAUGCUCAAAUUCUCACUCAAGGGAUGGGUUUCAUGAAUAUCAAAGUUUUAUGUAUGUAUGUUCUCACUAGAACCCUAUUUGAUGCCUUGAAAUUGUUUCAUAGCAUAGAUAGAAGGCACCCCAUGCCAUGGAAUUGGAUUAUUAGGGGAUUUAUAUUGACUAAUAAUUUUGAAUUUGGUCUUUUAUUCUACUUAAAAAUGUUGGGUUUUGGAAUUCAACCGGAUAGUUACACUUUUACUUAUGUUAUCAAGGCCUGUUGUAGUUUAUCAGCUAUAAGUAUUGGAAGAUUGAUUCAUGAAUCUAUGGUCGCAAUUGGGUUUGAAUUGGAUUUAUUUGUGGGGAGUUCUUUGAUGAAGUUAUAUGCUGAAAACGGUUGUAUAGAAGGCGCAGUUCAAGUGUUUAAUGAAAUGAGGGAAAGAGACUGUGUAUUAUGGAAUGUGAUCAUAACUGGUCAUGCUAAGCAUGGUGAUGUUAAUGGGGCGUUUAGGAUAUUUCAAAGGAUGAUGGGUUCGGAUAUAAAACCCAAUUCAGUUACAUUUUCUUGUGUUUUGUCAAUGUGUGCCACUAGUUCGAAUUUGGAUCACGGGAUUCAGCUUCAUGGUCAUGUGAUUCGGUGUGGGUUUGAGUAUCAAGUAUCCAUUUCAAAUACAUUAUUGGCCAUGUAUUCCAAAUGCCAUUGUCUACUAGAAUCACGACAGGUUUUCAAGGCCAUGAAUCAAAAGGACUUAGUGUCAUAUAAUGGUAUGAUUGCUGGGUAUGUUCAAAAUGGGUAUGCCGAUGAGGCAUUGAGUUUAUUCUAUGAGAUGCAAUCAGUCGGCUUGAAACCUGAUUCGGUUACUUUUGCGAGCAUUCUUCCUUCCUUUUCAGACCUGGCUGGUCUGAUUGAAGGGAAGGCAGUGCAUAGUUAUAUCAUAAGGAAUGGUGUGCAUUUGGAUGCAUUUGUGAAGAGUGCACUGAUUGAUAUAUACUGCAAAUGUAGGGAUGCGUUGCUAGCUCGUAAGGUUUUUGAUAGGACUGGUUAUCUAGAUGUGGUCAUAUGCAGUGCUAUGAUUUCAGGUUAUGUACUUAAUGGGAUGAGUUAUGAUGCUUUGGAGAUAUUUCGGGGCUUGGAAAAAUUUAGGCUCAAGCCCAAUUCGGUGACUCUUUCAAGUAUUUUACCUGCAUGUUCAGCUUUAGCAUCCUUAAGACUAGGUAAGCAGCUUCAUAACUACAUACUAAAAAAUGGCUUUGAGGCCAGAUGUUAUAUUGGAAGUGCAUUGACUGAUAUGUACGCUAAAUGUGGGAGAGUGGAUCUCAGUUUUAGGGUUUUUGAUAGAUUGCCUGAAAGGGACUCUGUAGCAUGGAAUUCUAUGAUCACUAGUUGUGCUCAAAAUGGGCAGCCCGAAGAGGCCCUAAAACUUAUCCGAAGGAUGAGUUUAGAAGGAGUUGGCUAUGACUGUGUCACCAUAUCGGCUGGCCUCUCAGCAUGUGCAGGCUUACCAGCCAUGCUACAUGGAAAGGAGAUCCAUGGCUUCAUGAUCAAAGGCUCAUUUCGUUCUGAUAUCUUUGCCAAGAGUGCCCUUAUUGACAUGUAUGCUAAGUGUGGUGCCUUAAGUCUUGCUCGAUCUGUCUUUGAUAUAAUGAGAGUGAAGAACGAGGUAUCAUGGAAUAGCAUGAUAGCGGCUUAUGGCAUCCAUGGCCAUGUAAAGGAAGCUCUUCUUUUAUUUCAGGAAAUGGUGGACUCAGGCAUUCUUCCUGAUCAAAUAACCUUCCUAGCUGUAAUAUCUUCGUGUGGCCAUGCUGGCCUUGUGGAAGAAGGUCUCCAAUACUUCAAUAGCAUGACCAAAGACUAUGGUAUUAUGGCUCGAAUGGAGCAUUAUUCAUGCAUGGUUGAUCUACUUGGGAGAGCAGGCCACCUCAAAGAGGCAAUGGGAGUCAUAGAAAAUAUGCCAUUUGAACCAGAUGCUGGUAUAUGGGGUGCAUUGCUUGGAGCUUGUCGGGUUCAUGGCAAUGUCGAGCUAGCUGAGCUUGCUUCAAAGCAUUUGUUUGAGUUGGAUCCUGGUAAUUCUGGGUACUAUGUGAUACUGGCGAAUAUUCAUGCAGAGGCUGGAAGAUGGGAAAGUGUUUUAAGAGUGAGGAGUUUGAUGAAAGAGAGAGGAGUUCAGAAAUUGCCAGGUUGUAGCUGGAUUGAUUUGAACAGCACCACCCAUAUGUUUGUGGCAGCUGAUGGAUCUCACCCGGAGUGUGCUCAGAUCUAUCUAAUCUCGAGGGUUCUUAUUUUAGAACUGAAAGAAGCAGGCUAUGUACCCAGACCAGAACUUUGUUGAGCAUCUAAGCUUCAUAGUGCAGGUCUGGGAGAAGUUAAGCCAGCUUGACUUGGGUGGGCAAAUCUACUUACUCAAUUAGAGCUUAGCUCAAGCCAGGAGUAGCAUGUGCUGACAGAAGCAAUUUAUCUUGCUACAUGGACCCAGCCUGUGGACUCACAAGCUAGGCCAGGGCCUAUGAGGUGUUGCCAGGAGUCACUCAACCAACAAGGCAUAAUCACUCACUCCAGAUUCUUGUUAAGGUCUGAGAGCUGUUAGGCCGGUUGAAUUGGGCGAGAAGAUUUACUGACAUGAUCAAACUGGGAGUGACAUGUAUGGAUGUAAGCAAGUCAUGUUGCCAUAUGGGACGUAGGAACUCAAAAGCUAGGACGCUAUAUUAGAUGCAAAAAUUCAGCGGUAUGGUCCUAUAUGAAAUAAAUAGCAACAAGCGUCAUUCUUCCUUAAUGCACAACAUUUUUUCUAUGUUUUUGAAUCCACUGAUUCAUAGAUGGAUAUACAGAAUAUUAGAAGUUGGAUCGAUUUGGGAUGACUGUAGUGAAGGUCGGCAUUAUGGUAAUCAUGUUUCUUUGAUGAAUCAUUUGAAGAGUCUAGAAAGAAAGGAACAUUGUAUUUCAGAGAAGGCUCAUGGAACAGGGACACUGACAGAAAUCAUCAAGAGGUUGAUGAUAGAAAAGGCCAAGGGUGUAUCAAUUAGAAAAGGAAGAACAGGGAUGUUUGGUAUUAAAACAGUAGAGUUUUGGAACAUUGGAUUGGGGUCCUUCAUUAUUUCCCAUCCAAAGUAAGGCCAAAAUGAAAUAUUAAAUUUCUUCGUACUGAGUUGAAAUCAGAAUCAUGAGUGGUGUUUGAGGGGCCAGGUAUACUAGCAAGUCUCCAAUAUUUAUCAAUCAUGAGGAACUUCCCUUUCCUAUUGAAAUUUCAAUAUAUAUAUAUUUUAAAUUCCGUUCUUAUGAUCAAAUAUGUUUGACAAUUUUCAUGUCCUCAAGAAUCUUGUAAAACUGUAGGAUUUGAUGAUGGGUCGUCCAAGCCUGGUAUGCUUGUGCAUGCUUCUAUGCCAUGUAUCAUCCCCAUAUGUUGCAUAAUUCAUCCAGACAAGAACCUACCAGUUAGAUCUCCAAUCCUUUACUAUAAUGGAACUUAGUAUAUUAAUAAUGAGCAUGGUUAUUUGUGAUGGCCGCAAUUUUUUACAA